Dreissena polymorpha is the source of this 6171-nucleotide long non-coding RNA. RefSeq lists it as uncharacterized. The record is from RefSeq and is a predicted model, not a curated record. NCBI's taxonomy places the organism in Eukaryota, Metazoa, Mollusca, Bivalvia, Myida, Dreissenidae. The transcript is spliced from 6 exons.
GUUCUACCAGCUUCCCAACCAAGUACAGGCUCUACAAGUCUCUCGUAGUCUUCAUCCUACUCACCGGCUGCGGGACAUGGACGCUUCACGCGGACACAGAACGCAGAAUACAGGCAUUUAAACAUAAAUGUCUCCGAAGACUGUUCUCCUAUACAGAGCACAAGACCAACGAGUACGUCCGGAACAUGACUGCAACAUUGGUUGGUCCACAAGAUCUCGAGCCCCUACUGGCGACCGUCAAACGACGAUAGUUUGCUUGGUUUUGACACGUCGCCAUGCACAAAUCUCUGUGCAAAAGUGUUUUUCCAUGAUGAUGAUGAUUUGCAUGUCCAAAGUAUUUAGUAUACUGUAACCUUAUUUUUAAUUGAAAGCGUCCACAUUUUGCAGAUCACAUGUUUUGUUUGGAAAGAAACAAUAGAAGUUUUCCAUUUUUAAUCAAGGGGCGUGCACCUUUGUUUCGCAUUAUAAUGGCAAAACAUAUAUUGUGUGAAAGGUUUGCAGAAUACAAUAUUUCCAACGAAAUCAAAGACACAUGUUCACCAAAAGUAAAAAGAUUAUGUCUUAGAGUGGACAAUACCGCCAUGUACGUUUCCGAAGCAGACCCUGUAAAACCUGGGGAUCAGAUGGAAUGGCAAUGUGAGAUGACAACAGAUGCCACGAGGGAUGAAUGCCUGUCAAAAGUGAACAGUCAAGAUAACAACAAUGCCAUGGCUAUGGAUUACGUAGCAGCUGGCAAUAGAAGCAAUAGCAGCCAAACGCCCUGCCCUCGCUGUCAGGCUGGGGAACCAGGUCACAUACAACACAUCACCAGCUGAUGGCAACAGACUGGCAACCAUCACCAGCUGAUGGCAACAGACUGGCAACCAUCACAAGCUGAUGGCAACAGACUGUCAACCAUCACCAGCUGAUGGCAACAGACUGGCAACUAUCACCAGCUGAUGGCAACAUACUGGAAACCAUCACCAGCUGAUGGCAACAGACUGGCAUCCGUCACCAGUUGAUGGCAACAGACUGGCAACUAUCACCAGCUGAUGGCAACAGACUGGCAUCCGUCACCAGCUGAUGGCAACAGACAGGCAACCAUCACCAGAUGAUGGCAACAGACUGGCAACCAUCACCAGCUGAUGGCAACAGACUUACAACUAUCACCUGCUGAUGGCAACAGACUGGCAACCAUCACCAGCUGAUGGCAACAGACUGGCAACUAUCACCAGCUGAUGGCAACAGACUGGCAACCAUCACCAGCUGAUGGCAACAGACUGGCAACCAUCACCAGCUGAUGGCAACAGACUGGCAACCAUCACCAGCUGAUGGCAACAGACUGGCAUCCAUCACCAGCUGAUGGCAACAGACUGGCAUCCAUCACCAGCUGAUGGCAACAGACUGGCAACCAUCACCAGCUGAUGGCAACAGACUGGCAACCAUCACCAGCUGAUGGCAACAGACUGGCAACCAUCACCAGCUGAUGGCAACAGACUGGCAUCCAUCACCAGCUUAUGGCAACAGACUGACAACCAUCACCAGCUGAUGGCAACAGACUGGCAACCAUCACCAGCUGAUGGCAACAGACUGGCAUUUGUAUUCUUUAAAGAUCUCAUUUGUGUUCACCUGAAUGUUGUGCUUUUAGUCAGGCUGAUUUGGCUGUGAAUGUGUUGUUAAAAUUGUUUUGUGCCAAUAUCAGGUUAGGUAUCAGUUUACUUGUACAGUCUUGUUGUAAAGUAUAUGGACCAUGACAUCUCUUACAUAAAAAAUACCAAUAUACUUUCAUUUUGGUGUAAUUUUUAAGAACAUGCAUUUGAAUUAUGUGCUACAGCAAUCAGGAUAUUGCUCAUCUCAUCACAUGUCCUGGUUUUUCAUAGCAUUUUUUUUAGGAAAAGUUGUGUUUGUAUUGUUAUCUGUCGAAAAAUUAAAAAAUUUUCAGUAGAGAAGGUUUUUAGCCAAUUUGCAGUUUUUCCUAUUCUAAUGUCUGGUUUUAUUAUAACAAAGUUUUGGAGCAUUUAUCUACAUUUCUGUACUAAUUAAAUUUAAAGUUCUUAUAUGUUCUCGCCUUGGACUGUAAAUGAGCAAUUUUUCAUUCCCUGUGAUCUACACAUUCCUGAGUUAUUUACCGUUGAAGAUACAGCCUACAAAGGGGUAGGGGGUAUAAGUAAUGUUUUUCUUUUCAAAGCUUCCUUUAACAUAUUUAAUUUAAUUUAUUUUAGGUCAUUGCGUUAUCUUAAUGUAUAUUUUGAUAAAAUCACUGACAUUAUACAUGGGCAUUGUACAUCCUUACCAAUAUGAUCUCCUUGUUUUGGAUUGUUUUACUCUUUAUCCACUUUGUCUUAUUUUUGCAUUAUUGAUCUCACGUCAUAUUUCUAAAGCUUGCCACCAAUGCAGUGCAUUUCACUUGAUUUGUUUGGUCUUGAGUGCACAACAUGCUAAUGGUUUACUGUUGGGGUUCCGUGAUAUGCGCCGCCCAACAGUCUCUACGUCAGUCUGUCUGUCCUAAACUUUUUCUUCAAACAACAUCCCCUGAAAAUCUGGGCAAACUUUUCCGAAACUUAAAAGGAAAGGAAUGUUCCUGUGGUGGUCUUCUAUGAAAAUUGUUUAAAUGGUUCCAGUUAAUGAUAUAUAAUUUCACGGAACUCAAUAAUGGAUUUAAGUAUUAGGUUUCUAAUAUCAUGUUGCUGUCCUUUACAAAAUCUGUUCAAAUUUUCCCCUGUGGUAAAUAUUGGCUUUGCCCCUGGGGUCACAAGAUUAUCAUAGAAUUGCAAAGGGAUAAUUUAAAAAAAUACUUGCAUGAAACAGCUAAGCCCAUUGCUUGUAUGUGUGUGAUGUAGUUGUGCUGUCUAGAGGUCCUCUUAAAAGUUUGUUCAAAAUAUCCUAUGGGGUCAAAAGAGGCCUUACCUUGGGGAACAGAAGUUUUACAUUGACACAUAAACAAGUGAAACCCGUUAAAAUCCUCUUCUGUUAACAGCAGAGACCAUGGCUUUGAUACUUAGUACGUUGCAUCAUUUGGAGGACCUCCAAAAGUUUGAUCAAAUAAUGACACUAGGGUUAAAGCUGACUGUGCCCAAGGGGCACAUCACAAAAUAACUUAUAACUCUUAUCUGCAACAACAAAGCCAAGAGCUUUAACAUUUUAGUAUGUAAAAUCAAAUACUAGUCCUAUAUAUAGUUUGUUAAUAUUAUGUAAUUGGCUUAAAAAUGGCCACAACCUGGUGUCACAUUUUUAUGCCCCUAAGAAGAGGGGGUAUAUUAGGUCAAAGGUCACUGUCACAAUAAGUGUGAAAUUCAUUUCUUAUCAAUAACUUGUAAACAAAUUGAUGGAUUGUCUUGAUACUUCACAUGUUCAUUGGCCUUGGACAGUAGAUAACCCCUUUUGAAAUUGGGGUCACUAGGUUAAAAGUCCAGGUAACUGUCAAAAUAAGUGUGAAAAUCGUAUCCAAUAAAUAAAUUGUAAACACAGUGACCGAUUGGCUUGAUACUUCCAUGUGCAUUGGCCUUCAACAGUAGAUUACCCCUAUUGAAAUUGGGGUCAAAGGUCACUGUCACAAUAAGUGUGAUAAUCGUUUCCGAUUAAUAACUCGUCAGUGAAUUGACCGAUUGUUUGAUACUUCCCAUGUUCAUUGGCCUUGGACAGUAGAUGACUCCUAUUGAAAUUGGGGUCAAAGGUCAUGGACACUGUCACAAUAAGUGUGAAAAUUGUUUCCGAUCAAUAACUCAUCAACAAAUUGACCGAUUGGCUUGAUACUUCAUAUGUGCAUUGGCCUUGGCCAGUAGAUUGCCCCAAUUGAAAUUCGGGUCACUAGUUCAAAUGUCAAGGUCACUGUGACAUUAAGUGUUUAAUUGGUUUCCUUUCGAUAUGUCAUCAAAGGAUUGAGUGAUGGGUGUCAAGGCCCUGUUUAAAGAGGAAUCUGUCUGCGUCUGCGGAGUUCUUGUUUAUAUAGCCUUUAUUAGCAAAAUAACCCAAUGCUUCAAUAUUUGGUAUGUAGCAUUAGAUAGUGGUCCUAAAUUGUUUUAUUUAUUCCGUUUUGGUAAACAUUGGCCACCUCCUCUGUAAAUUUGGGCGAGAUCUUUCUCAUAGUUACACUGUUGAAAGACAUAAAUUUUGAGAUGAUCAUAAAGUAAGAAAUCAGGGCUGAAACAAGUUUUUGCAGAAUUAUGGCUUUGUGUCUGUUGGUCCACUCCUCUUUAACUUCUGGUUGAAAUAUUAUACAAAUUUCACACUUGAAUAACCUUAAUGUGUUGAUGUUUGUGAAGAAAGAAUUUGCUUGCACCAGUUUUUGCAGAAAUAUGGCCCUUUUAGUCCUGUACUUGGUAUGUGGACCCGUUUGCAAAAUGUAGUUGAGGGCGUUUCUCAGUGUAAUUAAGUUUAUGGGUUUGUAGACAUGCACAAAAACCGAGGUGCUUGUCUGGCAUCAUGCCACGUUUUUGCUAUUAUCGAUUCAAAGAUGGCCGCCAUUGACAUAAUACAAUUUUUACUUUUAUUUACUGUAACAACAAUAUACAUUUAUAAUAAAUAUAUAUACUGACGAAAUAUAGUGUGUAGGAUAAAUUUAAGUUAUCAAUGUACCUUUUCAAAGUCAGAAUGACCUUGAAACGGCAUGUACAAGGUCAUUUUGUCAUUAAUACCGCUGAGUCCUUUGAUUCGUUGAUUUUCUGAAUUGACAGCUUCAAUUUUACUUAAAUGUAACGCUUAUUUUUGCAGUUUUAAAUUGUCAAAUGUUUAUUUGCUUAUGGUAUUUGUAUUAAAAUCUAUAAAAAUAUGCAAUAGAACCAUUCCUCUUUAUUGAGGGCUGAACGGAAAACUGUUGUAACUCACUUUUUUUUCAAAAAUCACUUUUUUGCUUUUUUCACUAUAUCUUCUACUAAUACAUAUGAACUAAACUUAUUAUUACCAAAUUCUUUGAAUAAAUGCCUAAAGCAUGGUUUUUGCAAAAGUGUUGUAACUUAAAUGGCCCAUUUCAGAAAGUGGAAAACUGUUGUAACAUGAGUUACAUACAGUUAUCCAUUAUCUUUUUUCCUACAAGGUAGAUUAUUCUUAACGGAAAACUGUACUUACUUAGCACUAUAGUUAUUACAUGCACUUUGUUUAUGAAUUUAAUGAUGUCAUAGCAUGAUGAUGAUGUCAUUAAACUUAAUAUUGCUUAACCUUGAAAGGCAGUAAAGAAUUUUCUCCUUAAAAUAUCCAAACAGCUAAGAUGCAAGUGAGUAAUAUAUUUAUUUAUUUAUUUAAUGUAACAAAAAAAAUAAAGAAAUAAAAAUUGUUUAUGCAUUUAUCUUUUAGCUUCUAAAAAUUAUAUCAGUGCAUACAAAUAAUAAUAUUUCUAUGCCCCCCUUUGAAGAAGAGGGGGUAUAUUGCUUUGCACAUGUCGGUCGGUCUGUCGGUCCGUCCACCAGGUGGUUUCCGGAUGAUAACUCAAGAACGCUUGGGGCUAGGAUCAUGAAACUUCAUAGGUACAUUGAUUAUGACUUGCAGAUGACCCCUAUUGAUUUUGAGGUCACUAGGUCAAAGGUCAAGGUCACGGUGACCCGAAAUAGUAAAAUGGUUUCCGGAUGAUAACUCAAGAACGCAUACGCCUAGGAUCAUGAAACUUCAUGGGUAGAUUGAUCAUGACUCGCAGAUGACCCCUAUCGAUUUUGAGGUCACUAGGUCAAAGGUCAAGGUCACGGUGACCCGAAAUAGUAAAAUGGUUUUCGGAUGAUAACUCAAGAAUGCAUAUGCCUAGGAUCAUGAAACUUCAUAGGUAGAUUGAUCAUGACUCGCAGAUGACCCCUAUUGAUUUUGAGGUCACAAGGUCAAAGGUCACGGUGACCCGAAAUAGUAAAAUGAUUUUCGGAUGAUAACUCAAGAACGCUUUUGCCUAGGAUCUUGACACUUCAUAGGUAGAUUGAUCGUGACUCGCAGAUGACCCCUAUUGAUUUUCAGGUCACUAGGUCAAAGGUCAAGGUCACAGUGACAAAAAUCGUAUUCACACAAUGGCUGCCACUACAACGGACAGCCCAUAUGGGGGGCAUGCAUGUUUUACAAACAGCCCUUGUUUUAUUUGUUAAAAAUAAUCAAACCACUGAAACCAGAAGCUGUUUGAGUUUAUAGAGGUCUCACUGAAAUUUUUAACAAUAAUUACAUUAAAUGAUACUAACAUUUUAAGUUUUGAUGCAAAACACUGAUUGCAAACGACAUUAUUCU